Molecule: ribosomal RNA, 293 nt
Filed under: Creaserinus clausus
Lineage: Eukaryota; Metazoa; Arthropoda; Malacostraca; Decapoda; Cambaridae
Description: partial large subunit ribosomal RNA
Source: RNAcentral
CUGGAAUGAAUGGUUGGACAAGAGAUAAUCUGUCUUAAUUUAAGGUAUUGAAUUUAACUUUUAAGUGAAAAGGCUUAAAUGGUYUGAAGGGACGAUAAGACCCUAUAAAACUUUAUAUUUAAGGGUGUAAAUUAUUAUUAUUUUUAUAUUAUUAUCUAAAAGUAUUUGGUUGGGGCGACAAGGAUAGAAUUUUAAGUAACUGUUCUUUUUUUUUAACAAUAAUAUUUGGUUUAAUGAUCCUAAAAAGGAUUAAAGAUUAAGUUACUUUAGGGAUAACAGCGUAAUUUUCUUUG